RNAcentral lists this long non-coding RNA (1038 nucleotides) under Piliocolobus tephrosceles (Ugandan red Colobus). Its description in RNAcentral is "lncRNA (ENSPTEG00000013144.1)". The record is from RNAcentral. Lineage: Eukaryota; Metazoa; Chordata; Mammalia; Primates; Cercopithecidae.
AAGUUUAUUACCAGCAUGGGAAUACAUGUUCGUACAUAUGUCCGUAUAUAUAUGUAUACAUUUUUUUGUAUAUUUAAAAUAUUAUUAGAAAAGCAUAAUAAUGUAGUUCGAAUAUACGAAACGGAAGAUUAUUCAUGUAUCACUAUAUUGGAACAAAAAAAAAGAAUAACAAAUUUACAGUGGGAUGAUAUAUUAAACAAACCAAGGUUAAAGAAGAUAAACCUUUUUUUUUUUUUUUUUUUAUCAUAUAAUAUAUUAUGUAAUAAAAUAAUAUAAUGAUAAUAGUUUGAUUUGUGAAUAUAAUAUAAUAGCAUGCUUGUUAAAAAUUUUGGUGAAAAUAUACAAAAUAUAUAGUAGCAUUAAUAGUAGUAGUAGUAGUAGUAGUUACAAUGCUGGCGGUAGUAACAAUAAUUAAAGUUGCUUGAUUAUUUAUACAGGCUUUCAAUAUGCACAAAUACGGCAUAUGUAUUUGUAUGGUUACCAGACGGAUGUGCCAUAAUCGACAUGCCAAAUGGUACAUUUAAAAAUAAAAUAAUCAACAAAAAAUUAAUUAAAUAAAAACGGAACAUAUUGCAAACUAUAAAUAUUUUAUUUAGUCAUAUAUAUACACAUAUAUAUAUACACNNNNNNNNNNAUAUAUAUCAUGUGUAGAUUUUGCGGAUGAAAAGUUUAUUACCAGCAUGGGAAUACAUGUUCGUACAUAUGUCCGUAUAUAUAUGUAUACAUUUUUUUGUAUAUUUAAAAUAUUAUUAGAAAAGCAUAAUAAUGUAGUUCGAAUAUACGAAACGGAAGAUUAUUCAUGUAUCACUAUAUUGGAACAAAAAAAAAGAAUAACAAAUUUACAGUGGGAUGAUAUAUUAAACAAACCAAGGCUUUCAAUAUGCACAAAUACGGCAUAUGUAUUUGUAUGGUUACCAGACGGAUGUGCCAUAAUCGACAUGCCAAAUGGUACAUUUAAAAAUAAAAUAAUCAACAAAAAAUUAAUUAAAUAAAAACGGAACAUAUUGCAAACUAUAAAUAUUUUAUUUAGUCAUAUAU